Molecule: ribosomal RNA, 761 nt
Filed under: uncultured Pseudomonadaceae bacterium
Lineage: Bacteria; Pseudomonadati; Pseudomonadota; Gammaproteobacteria; Pseudomonadales; Pseudomonadaceae
Description: bacterial SSU rRNA
Rfam family: Bacterial small subunit ribosomal RNA
Source: RNAcentral
CAGGAUUAGAUACCCUGGUAGUCCACGCCGUAAACGAUGUCAACUAGCCGUUGGGGAGCUUAGUCUCCUUAGUGGCGUAGCUAACGCGCUAAGUUGACCGCCUGGGGAGUACGGUCGCAAGAUUAAAACUCAAAUGAAUUGACGGGGGCCCGCACAAGCGGUGGAGCAUGUGGUUUAAUUCGACGCAACGCGAAGAACCUUACCAGGUCUUGACAUCCAGAGAACUUUCCAGAGAUGGAUUGGUGCCUUCGGGAACUCUGAGACAGGUGCUGCAUGGCUGUCGUCAGCUCGUGUCGUGAGAUGUUGGGUUAAGUCCCGUAACGAGCGCGACCCUUGUCCUUAGUUGCCAGCACAUAAUGGUGGGAACUCUAAGGAGACUGCCGGUGACAAACCGGAGGAAGGUGGGGACGACGUCAAGUCAUCAUGGCCCUUACGGCCUGGGCUACACACGUGCUACAAUGGCUAGGACAGACGGCCGCAAACCCGCGAGGGGGAGCCAAUCCGACAAACCUAGUCGUAGUCCGGAUCGGAGUCUGCAACUCGACUCCGUGAAGUCGGAAUUGCUAGUAAUCGCGAAUCAGAAUGUCGCGGUGAAUACGUUCCCGGGCCUUGUACACACCGCCCGUCACACCAUGGGAGUGGGUUGCUCCAGAAGUGGUUAGUCUAACCUUCGGGGGGACGAUCACCACGGAGUGAUUCAUGACUGGGGUGAAGUCGUAACAAGGUAGCCCUAGGGGAACCUGUGGCUGGAUCACCUCCUU